Molecule: ribosomal RNA, 253 nt
Filed under: uncultured bacterium
Lineage: Bacteria
Description: partial 16S ribosomal RNA
Rfam family: Bacterial small subunit ribosomal RNA
Source: RNAcentral
UACGUAGGGUGCAAGCGUUGCCCGGAUUUAUUGGGCGUAAAGGGCGCGUAGGCGGCUCGGCACGUCCGUUGUGAAAUCGCUCGGCUCAACUGGGCGGGGUCAGCGGAUACGGCGUGGCUGGAGCAAGCUAGGGGGCAAUGGAAUUCCCGGUGUAGUGGUGGAAUGCGUAGAUAUCAGGAGGAACACCGGUGGCGAAGGCGGGUCUCUGGGCAGUAACUGACGCUGAGGAGCGAAAGCGUGGGGAGCGAACAGG